RNAcentral lists this ribosomal RNA (397 nucleotides) under uncultured bacterium. RNAcentral describes it as "partial 16S ribosomal RNA". It matches the Rfam family "Bacterial small subunit ribosomal RNA", at positions 523 to 918 of the family's 1533-position model. The record is from RNAcentral.
AUACGUAGGUGGCGAGCGUUGUCCGGAAUUACUGGGCGUAAAGGAUGCGUAGGUGGAUACUUAAGUGGGAUGUGAAGUCCCCGGGCUCAACCCGGGAACUGCAUUCCAAACUGGGUAUCUAGAGUGCAGGAGAGGAAAGCGGAAUUCCUAGUGUAGCGGUGAAAUGCGUAGAUAUUAGGAGGAACACCAGGGGCGAAGGCGUCUUUCGGGACUGUAACUGCCACUGAGGCAUGAAAGCGUGGGUAGCAAACAGAAUUAGAUACCCUGGUAGUCCACGCCGUAAACGAUGGGUACUAGGUGUAGGAGGUAUCGACCCCUUCUGUGCCGUCGUUAACACAAUAAGUACCCCGCCUGGGGAGUACGGUCGCAAGACUAAAACUCAAAGGAAUUGACGGGG